GUGAAUUAAACAUUGCUUGGUGUCUUCGCUUCGGCAAGGCCCUUGCUUAAAAAUCACAUCCUAACACCUGUGAACUGUAAGACGUAUGAUGAGGUCUUUGGCCAAGUCAUCGUCUGCCCAUUUUAUUUAUAACAAACAAUUAAUGUAACAUACAAACGUAGUCUUAUUAUAACCUAAUUA
Molecule: unclassified non-coding RNA, 180 nt
Filed under: soil metagenome
Description: partial internal transcribed spacer 1
Source: RNAcentral